GCCCCUUAACUUGCGUCCGGGUAACUGUGGCCGCAGCAAAACGCAGCUGGUGCCCUCUGCAGCGCCUAGCCAGACUUCAAGGACACCUCCUCGCUGCUGCUAGAGCACCCUAGCAGCGUUGGGACUCUGGGCACAGUCUGCGGGAGGCUCCCCACCGCUGCCCAGAAGGCGGAUGUUGGGGAAUCAAGGAAAGCGGGAAGAAGGCGAGGCCUGGGGGAGGCCAGAGAAUUGUCGCAGACGGCUAGUUCGGAGGUUAGAAUAAGAAACGCGGAUUUCUGUCGGAGGCUCCGCCACGCCCCUUACCCACCAAGUACCUUGAUGAGAUUACCCAAUCCCUCUGCUUCGCAAAAUGGCCUUCUAUAAGUGAGGAAGAAUAAUGUCUUCUGACCUAAGUCGCUGUGAUGGUCAUAUGAGAUACAAAACUUUCACCUCUUGUUCAAAGAGUGGCAAAGACUCGAAUCUUUUUCCUCCAUUCUUUACUUACACACACCCAUAGGUGAUUUCAAACGAGUACAGACGCUCUCUCCAGCCAGAAUGAACUAGCAGUGUCAUCGUGGAAAUGGUUUAAUAAAAAUUUUCACUUAUUGAGU
This is a long non-coding RNA of Sapajus apella (tufted capuchin), 590 nucleotides long. RefSeq lists it as uncharacterized. Lineage: Eukaryota; Metazoa; Chordata; Mammalia; Primates; Cebidae. The transcript is spliced from 2 exons. The record is from RefSeq and is a predicted model, not a curated record.